This 28-nucleotide non-coding RNA is filed under the name Homo sapiens (human). Lineage: Eukaryota; Metazoa; Chordata; Mammalia; Primates; Hominidae. The record is from RNAcentral.
GUAUCUGACUAGGUAGCAAACAGAUUUC